GAUGAACGCUGGCGGCGUGCCUAAUACAUGCAAGUCGAGCGAACGGACGAGAAGCUUGCUUCUCUGAUGUUAGCGGCGGACGGGUGAGUAACACGUGGAUAACCUACCUAUAAGACUGGGAUAACUUCGGGAAACCGGAGCUAAUACCUGAUAAUAUUUUGAACCGCAUGGUUCAAAAGUGAAAGACGGUCUUGCUGUCACUUAUAGAUGGAUCCGCGCUGCAUUAGCUAGUUGGUAAGGUAACGGCUUACCAAGGCAACGAUGCAUAGCCGACCUGAGAGGGUGAUCGGCCACACUGGAACUGAGACACGGUCCAGACUCCUACGGGAGGCAGCAGUAGGGAAUCUUCCGCAAUGGGCGAAAGCCUGACGGAGCAACGCCGCGUGAGUGAUGAAGGUCUUCGGAUCGUAAAACUCUGUUAUUAGGGAAGAACAUAUGUGUAAGUAACUGUGCACAUCUUGACGGUACCUAAUCAGAAAGCCACGGCUAACUACGUG
RNAcentral lists this ribosomal RNA (497 nucleotides) under uncultured bacterium. RNAcentral's name for it is "partial 16S ribosomal RNA". It matches the Rfam family "Bacterial small subunit ribosomal RNA", at positions 28 to 507 of the family's 1533-position model. The record is from RNAcentral.